AUGAUACUGUAAUAAUCAAUGCUGUUGAAAUUCCAGUCUGUGGCAAAGAUCAAGUUGUCAGACCCAGAGGAUUGAUGUGGCUCUUCUUAGUCGUGAACAUUAUCCAGAUAUUGUUUUUGAAUUGAUUGGAGGAAAAGGUUUUGGUACUGUGGUGUACUUCAGGUGGAGUCAUGAUGACUGUCGUCACCUAUUUGCCAUACCUCUGCCAUUUGUAGCAAGAAGUAUCGAGGUUGAAGGAACACAAUUUCAUGUGUUGAAAGAUGUGAUUGAUUUAUCAAAAUCAUCAAAUUUUUAUAGAAUAAGAAAAGAAAAUUUCAUUGGAGGUUUUCUUUUCUGGUUACAAACGAGAAAAGAGCAAAGAAGUGCUUGUCAAGUUACUCCUGCUGUACCAUUUAACUACAGUGAUGUGUUUGCUCAACAAGAGUUAGAAGCCUAUGUAGAUGCGAAUUGGUAUCACGAAAUAUGCAAGGU
This is a non-coding RNA of Styela clava, 471 nucleotides long. NCBI's taxonomy places the organism in Eukaryota, Metazoa, Chordata, Ascidiacea, Stolidobranchia, Styelidae. The record is from RefSeq and is a predicted model, not a curated record.